AGAGUUUGAUCCUGGCUCAGAAUGAACGCUGGCGGCGUGCCUAACACAUGCAAGUCGUACGAGAAAUCCCGAGCUUGCUUGGGAGAGUAAAGUGGCGCACGGGUGAGUAACGCGUGGGUAACCCACCUUCGAAUCUGGGAUAACUCCGCGAAAGCGGUGCUAAUACCGGAUAAGACCACAGCCGUUUCGGCGGCAGAGGUAAAAGCUGACCUCUCCAUGGAAGUUAGCGUUCGAGGACGGGCCCGCGUCCUAUCAGCUUGUUGGUGGGGUAAAGGCCUACCAAGGCAGCGACGGGUAGCUGGUCUGAGAGGAUGAUCAGCCACACUGGAACUGGAACACGGUCCAGACUCCUACGGGAGGCAGCAGUGAGGAAUUUUGCGCAAUGGGGGAAACCCUGACGCAGCAACGCCGCGUGGGUGAAGAAGGCUUUCGGGUCGUAAAGCCCUGUCAGGUGGGAAGAACCGUUUCGAUACUAAUAAUGUCGAAGCCUGACGGUACCACCAGAGGAAGCACCGGCCAACUCCGUGCCAGCAGCCGCGGUAAUACGGAGGGUGCAAGCGUUGUUCGGAAUUAUUGGGCGUAAAGAGCGUGUAGGCGGUCCGGUAAGUCAGAUGUGAAAGCCCUGGGCUCAACCCAGGAAGUGCA
Molecule: ribosomal RNA, 645 nt
Filed under: uncultured bacterium
Lineage: Bacteria
Description: bacterial SSU rRNA
Rfam family: Bacterial small subunit ribosomal RNA
Source: RNAcentral